This is a non-coding RNA of Odocoileus virginianus texanus, 776 nucleotides long. Lineage: Eukaryota; Metazoa; Chordata; Mammalia; Artiodactyla; Cervidae. The record is from RefSeq and is a predicted model, not a curated record.
CUGAACUGGAACAAUCGUCUGUGGAGUGAAAACCAGACAGCCUAUCAGGGCUUGUUUCCUGAGACAAAGUUCACACUGGUUCACAUCCUGGGUCCAGUGAGGACAAGGACUCCUCCAUGCCCUGGAAGCAUGGCUCCUAGCCCUGAGAAGGCCCUCACUAGCCCUUUAAGAGAGCCAAGAAUAUGCAGCCCAGACAAGGUGUUUCCGUCAAGCUGGUCCCCUGACCACUGGAGAACAAUGUGGAGGCUGGAGCCGCGAGGAGCCUUGGAGCGAGCAAGAGAUUCCAACCCAGACCCCUGGAAGGCCCCAGGAGGAGCCCACGUGGGAGGUGCCAGCUGCUGAGGAAGGUCUGACACCACACAACACACCCGGGCCAUGCAGGAAAGCUGCCUGCCCUGCACCUUUGCAAUGUGACUGCAGAAUCUGAGCAUCUGAGAGCCAUCAGUCCAGCCCAUUAGUACUGUAACCUGAACUUUGCUGCAGUUUGCACUAAAGACAAUGCCUUCCAUAUAAGAGGCUGAGACGAGGAAGCAGCCAAGCUAAUUAACCGGACAAAAAAUUGGAUGCUCAUCCACAUGGCAGGUGUCUUCUUUGUUGAAAAGCUUCUUUAAUACAGAACUAUUCUGGGGCAGUUUAAACAGGAGUUUGAGUUAUGAAAGCAUUUUUUGUGAGCAUAUCAAUUCUGCAUGCCCAAGGGACAUGCAUGGCACACAAUUUCAGAGCUGCCGUCUAAGGAAGGUUGUUGUUUAGUCUUUACGUCAUGUCUGACUCCUCGU